RNAcentral lists this ribosomal RNA (253 nucleotides) under uncultured bacterium. RNAcentral describes it as "partial 16S ribosomal RNA". It matches the Rfam family "Bacterial small subunit ribosomal RNA", at positions 524 to 776 of the family's 1533-position model. The record is from RNAcentral.
UACGGAGGGUGCAAGCGUUUUUCGGAAUUACUGGGCGUAAAGGGCGUGUAGGUGGUUGACUAAGUCAGGUGUGAAAGCCCUCAGCUCAACUGAGGAAGCGCAUCUGAAACUGGUUAACUUGAGUACGGGAGAGGAGAGUGGAAUUCCUGGUGUAGAGGUGAAAUUCGUAGAUAUCAGGAGGAACAUCGGUGGCGAAGGCGACUCUCUGGACCGAUACUGACACUGAGACGCGAAAGCGUGGGGAGCAAACAGG